RNAcentral lists this unclassified non-coding RNA (786 nucleotides) under Centruroides sculpturatus (bark scorpion). RNAcentral describes it as "uncharacterized LOC111614473, transcript variant X2". Lineage: Eukaryota; Metazoa; Arthropoda; Arachnida; Scorpiones; Buthidae. The record is from RNAcentral.
AAAUAAUCUAUUUAUUUACUUUGUCUUAUGAUAUGUAUUUAUACUUACGUAGGCUUAUGACUCGUUUCAAGAAAUAAGAAAGUUGGGAGCUGCUAUUUUACCACUUGAAACUAAACUUAAAAUGUUGAACUUCAUGAAGAAAUUUCAAAGGAAGAAUAUUGGACUUAGUUGUGGCGAUUGUUUUGUAUUUUCAAAACAAACUCCUGUACAGACAUAUAAAGCUUUGUAUAGCGUAUUUAACAUGCUACUACAAAUUCGAGAUGUUUACUUUAAAGAACGUCGAUCCUGCAAAGUUGAAACUCCUCUUUUACUUCUACAUUCUAACAAUACUACUGUUAGCACUUGAAAUUCUAAAAAAAUUACUUCAGUAAAUUUGUACUAGCGAGUUUAAUUACUUAAAGUUGUGAGUUCCCUUUUUGGUUAAGUAUUGUCUAGUGAUUACUCUUAAUUAAAUGUUAUAAAACAACAAUGGAAAUCUGUCAUUAUUAACUAUUAUUAUUACAAAGGUAGAAGCAUAAGUUUGUAGUAGUUGUAUUGUGCUACUAGAACUACUACAACUGUAUUCGUUUAAAUGGUAAAACAUGAGAGUAGUACACCUAUUUUAUUCACCACAGUGUAAUCAUUUUGAAUUCAAUACUUCUAGAAAUAUCGAGUAAUAGUUUAAUAUGGAAUGAAGCUUUUACACUGAUCACAUGAUCGAAUUGUUUGUUUAUUCAUUUUUUAAAAUUACUAUUUGUAAAUUCUUUGUAUAAAUAUUAUGAAGCCGGAAAAAUAAAUUUAAUUGUU